RNAcentral lists this ribosomal RNA (372 nucleotides) under uncultured organism. RNAcentral describes it as "partial 16S ribosomal RNA". It matches the Rfam family "Bacterial small subunit ribosomal RNA", at positions 527 to 896 of the family's 1533-position model. The record is from RNAcentral.
GUAGGUGGCAAGCGUUGUCCGGAAUUAUUGGGCGUAGAGCGCGCGCAGGCGGUUCUUUAAGUCUGAUGUGAAAGCCCACGGCUCAACCGUGGAGGGUCAUUGGAAACUGGAGAACUUGAGUACAGAAGAGGAAAGCGGAAUUCCACGUGUAGCGGUGAAAUGCGUAGAGAUGUGGAGGAACACCAGUGGCGAAGGCGGCUUUCUGGUCUGUAACUGACGCUGAGGCGCGAAAGCGUGGGGAGCAAACAGGAUUAGAUACCCUGGUAGUCCACGCCGUAAACGAUGAGUGCUAAGUGUUAGGGGGUUUCCGCCCCCCUUAGUGCUGCAGCUAACGCAUUAAGCACUCCGCCUGGGAGUACGGCCGCAAGGCUG